This 73-nucleotide transfer RNA is filed under the name Stegodyphus dumicola. RNAcentral describes it as "tRNA-Ser". It matches the Rfam family "tRNA". From Rfam's summary of the family: Transfer RNA (tRNA) molecules are approximately 80 nucleotides in length. Lineage: Eukaryota; Metazoa; Arthropoda; Arachnida; Araneae; Eresidae. The record is from RNAcentral.
GCCUUCGUAGUGCAGUGGUCAGCACGCUGGGCUCGAAUUCCAGAGCUCCGUGGUUCAAUUCCCGACGAAGGCG